RNAcentral lists this ribosomal RNA (466 nucleotides) under uncultured bacterium. RNAcentral describes it as "partial 16S ribosomal RNA". It matches the Rfam family "Bacterial small subunit ribosomal RNA", at positions 28 to 507 of the family's 1533-position model. The record is from RNAcentral.
GACGAACGCUGGCGGCGCGCCUAACACAUGCAAGUCGAACGAGCGAGAGAGAGCUUGCUUUCUUGAGCGAGUGGCGAACGGGUGAGUAACGCGUGAGGAACCUGCCUCAAAGAGGGGGACAACAGUUGGAAACGACUGCUAAUACCGCAUAAGCCCACGACCCGGCAUCGGGUUGAGGGAAAAGGAGCAAUCCGCUUUGAGAUGGCCUCGCGUCCGAUUAGCUAGUUGGUGAGGUAACGGCCCACCAAGGCGACGAUCGGUAGCCGGACUGAGAGGUUGAACGGCCACAUUGGGACUGAGACACGGCCCAGACUCCUACGGGAGGCAGCAGUGGGGAAUAUUGCACAAUGGGGGAAACCCUGAUGCAGCGACGCCGCGCGGAGGAAGAAGGUCUUCGGAUUGUAAACUCCUGUUGUUGAGGAAGAUAAUGACGGUACUCAACAAGGAAGUGACGGCUAACUACGUG